UGGAAGGUGCUCCUUGAACGGCUCGGACAGGUCCCUCGACAAGACCCAUCCUCGCUGGUCAGGAGCACUUUUCAGUUGAUCAACACUCGCUCACGCCGCUCCGCCGUGAAAG
This is a small RNA of Blastococcus saxobsidens DD2, 112 nucleotides long. It matches the Rfam family "Actinobacteria sRNA Ms_IGR-7". The record is from Rfam. Lineage: Bacteria; Bacillati; Actinomycetota; Actinomycetes; Geodermatophilales; Geodermatophilaceae.